RNAcentral lists this ribosomal RNA (467 nucleotides) under uncultured bacterium. RNAcentral's name for it is "bacterial SSU rRNA". It matches the Rfam family "Bacterial small subunit ribosomal RNA", at positions 28 to 477 of the family's 1533-position model. The record is from RNAcentral.
GACGAACGCUGGCGGCGUGCCUAAUACAUGCAAGUAGAACGCUGAAGACUUUAGCUUGCUAAAGUUGGAAGAGUUGCGAACGGGUGAGUAACGCGUAGGUAACCUGCCUACUAGCGGGGGAUAACUAUUGGAAACGAUAGCUAAUACCGCAUAACAGCAUUUAACCCAUGUUAGAUGCUUGAAAGGAGUAAUUGCUUCACUAGUAGAUGGACCUGCGUUGUAUUAGCUAGUUGGUGAGGUAACGGCUCACCAAGGCGACGAUACAUAGCCGACCUGAGAGGGUGAUCGGCCACACUGGGACUGAGACACGGCCCAGACUCCUACGGGAGGCAGCAGUAGGGAAUCUUCGGCAAUGGGGGCAACCCUGACCGAGCAACGCCGCGUGAGUGAAGAAGGUUUUCGGAUCGUAAAGCUCUGUUGUAAGAGAAGAACGUGUGUGAGAGUGGAAAGUUCACACAGUGACGGUA